Molecule: microRNA, 22 nt
Filed under: Plutella xylostella (diamondback moth)
Lineage: Eukaryota; Metazoa; Arthropoda; Insecta; Lepidoptera; Plutellidae
Description: pxy-miR-8520-3p
Source: miRBase by way of RNAcentral
CUUCGCCAGAGAGUCGCAUAGU